RNAcentral lists this ribosomal RNA (1245 nucleotides) under uncultured Gammaproteobacteria bacterium. RNAcentral's name for it is "bacterial SSU rRNA". It matches the Rfam family "Bacterial small subunit ribosomal RNA", at positions 9 to 1252 of the family's 1533-position model. The record is from RNAcentral. Lineage: Bacteria; Pseudomonadati; Pseudomonadota; Gammaproteobacteria.
GAGUUUGAUCCUGGCUCAGAUUGAACGCUGGCGGCAGGCUUAACACAUGCAAGUCGAACGGUAACAUGAGUGCUUGCACUUGAUGACGAGUGGCGGACGGGUGAGUAAUGUAUGGGGAUCUGCCGAAUGGAUUGGGACAACAGUUGGAAACGACUGCUAAUACCGAAUAAUGUUGCGAGACCAAAGGGUGCUUACGGGCACUUGCCAUUUGAUGAACCCAUAUGAGAUUAGCUAGUUGGUGGGGUAAAGGCUCACCAAGGCGACGAUCUCUAGCUGGUCUGAGAGGAUGACCAGCCACACUGGAACUGAGACACGGUCCAGACUCCUACGGGAGGCAGCAGUGGGGAAUAUUGCACAAUGGGGGAAACCCUGAUGCAGCCAUGCCGCGUGUAUGAAGAAGGCCUUAGGGUUGUAAAGUACUUUCGGUGAUGAGGAAGUUACGUGUGGGAUAAGCACAUAUAAUUGACGUUAGUUACAGAAGAAGCACCGGCUAACUCCGUGCCAGCAGCCGCGGUAAUACGGAGGGUGCGAGCGUUAAUCGGAAUGACUGGGCGUAAAGGGCAUGUAGGCGGAUGAUUAAGUUAGGUGUGAAAGCCUCGGGUUCAACCUGAGAAUAGCAUUUAAAACUGGUGAUCUGGAGUACUGUAGAGGGAGGUAGAAUUCCACGUGUAGCGGUGAAAUGCGUAGAGAUGUGGAGGAAUACCGGUGGCGAAGGCGGCCUUCUGGACAGAUACUGACGCUGAGAUGCGAAAGCGUGGGGAGCAAACAGGAUUAGAUACCCUGGUAGUCCACGCUGUAAACGAUGUCGAUUUGGAGUUUGUUGCCUAGAGUGAUGGGCUCCGAAGCUAACGCGAUAAAUCGACCGCCUGGGGAGUACGGCCGCAAGGUUAAAACUCAAAUGAAUUGACGGGGGCCCGCACAAGCGGUGGAGCAUGUGGUUUAAUUCGAUGCAACGCGAAGAACCUUACCUGGUCUUGACAUCCACAGAAUCUUGCAGAGAUGUGAGAGUGCCUUCGGGAACUGUGAGACAGGUGCUGCAUGGCUGUCGUCAGCUCGUGUUGUGAAAUGUUGGGUUAAGUCCCGCAACGAGCGCAACCCUUAUCCUUUGUUGCCAUCGGUUAGGCCGGGAACUCAAAGGAGACUGCCGUUGAUAAAGCGGAGGAAGGUGGGGACGACGUCAAGUCAUCAUGGCCCUUACGACCAGGGCUACACACGUGCUACAAUGGCGUAUACAAAGGGAGGCGA